RNAcentral lists this ribosomal RNA (497 nucleotides) under uncultured bacterium. RNAcentral describes it as "partial 16S ribosomal RNA". It matches the Rfam family "Bacterial small subunit ribosomal RNA", at positions 28 to 507 of the family's 1533-position model. The record is from RNAcentral.
GAUGAACGCUGGCGGCGUGCCUAAUACAUGCAAGUCGAGCGAACAGACGAGGAGCUUGCUCCUCUGACGUUAGCUGCGGACGGGUGAGUAACACGUGUAUAACCUACCUAUAAGACUGGGAUCACUUCGGGAAACCGGCGCUAAUACCGGAUAAUAUAUUGAACCGCAUGGUUCAAUAGUGAAAGACGGUUUUGCUGUAACUUCUAGAUGGAUCCGCGCCGCAUUAGCUAGUUGGUAAGGUAACGGCUUACCAAGGCGACGAUGCGUAGCCGACUUGCGGGGGUGAUCGGCCACACUAGAAGUGAGACACGGUCCAGACUCCUACGGGAGGCAGCAGUAGGGAAUCUUCCGCAAUGGGCGAAAGCCUGACGGAGCAACGCCGCGUGAGUGAUGAAGGUCUUCGGAUCGUAAAACUCUGUUAUUAGGGAAGAACAAAUGUGUAAGUAACUAUGCACGUCUUGACGGUACCUAAUCAGAAAGCCACGGCUAACUACGUG